This 246-nucleotide unclassified non-coding RNA is filed under the name plant metagenome. RNAcentral describes it as "partial contains small subunit ribosomal RNA and internal transcribed spacer 1". The stretch from base 1 to 46 matches the Rfam family "Eukaryotic small subunit ribosomal RNA", at positions 1786 to 1831 of the family's 1831-position model. The record is from RNAcentral.
AAGUCGUAACAAGGUUUCCGUAGGUGAACCUGCGGAAGGAUCAUUACAUUUUAGUAGCCCGUAGCUGCUAUUCAGGUGGGGGUUCGGUUUAGCCCUGCAUAGCUUAAUCGCUGAUGAGCACAGACCCCCUGUUUGUACCCUUGUUUUUUGCGUACCAAAGUUUCCUCGGCGGGCUGCUCGCCGGAUGGACAAUACUAUAACCUUUUUAAUAUUCAAUCAGCGUCUGAAAAACUUGAAUAAUUACAA